This 253-nucleotide ribosomal RNA is filed under the name uncultured bacterium. RNAcentral describes it as "partial 16S ribosomal RNA". It matches the Rfam family "Archaeal small subunit ribosomal RNA", at positions 474 to 727 of the family's 1478-position model. The record is from RNAcentral.
UACCAGCACCCCGAGUGGUCGGGACGAUUAUUGGGCCUAAAGCAUCCGUAGCCGGUUCUACAAGUCUUCCGUUAAAUCCACCUGCUUAACAGAUGGGCUGCGGAGGAUACUAUAGAGCUAGGGGGCGGGAGAGGCAAGCGGUACUUAGUGGGUAGGGGUAAAAUCCGUUGAUCCAUUGAAGACCACCAGUGGCGAAGGCGGCUUGCCAGAACGCACUCGACGGUGAGGGAUGAAAGCUGGGGGAGCAAACCGG